AUUGAACGCUGGCGGAAUGCUUUACACAUGCAAGUCGAACGGUAGAGGGGGCAACCCCUUGAGAGUGGCGAACGGGUGAGUAAUAUAUCGGAACGUGCCCAGUCGUGGGGAUAACGUAGCGAAAGUUACGCUAAUACCGCAUACGAUCUAAGGAUGAAAGCGGGGGACUCGCAAGAGCCUCGCGCGAUUGGAGCGGCCGAUAUCAGAUUAGGUAGUUGGUGGGGUAAAGGCUCACCAAGCCAACGAUCUGUAGCUGGUCUGAGAGGACGACCAGCCACACUGGAACUGAGACACGGUCCAGACUCCUACGGGAGGCAGCAGUGGGGAAUUUUUGGACAAUGGACGCAAGUCUGAUCCAGCCAUUCCGCGUGCAGGAUGAAGGCCCUCGGGUUGUAAACUGCUUUUGUACAGGAAGAAACCCUUUCACGUGUGGAAGAUUGACGGUACUGUAAGAUAAGGAUCGGCUAACUCCGUGCCAGCAGCCGCGGU
Molecule: ribosomal RNA, 489 nt
Filed under: uncultured bacterium
Lineage: Bacteria
Description: bacterial SSU rRNA
Rfam family: Bacterial small subunit ribosomal RNA
Source: RNAcentral